Molecule: unclassified non-coding RNA, 86 nt
Filed under: Pseudomonas synxantha
Lineage: Bacteria; Pseudomonadati; Pseudomonadota; Gammaproteobacteria; Pseudomonadales; Pseudomonadaceae
Source: RNAcentral
GUGGGAGGGGGCUUGCUCCCGAUAGCGGUCUAUCAGUUGAAAUAAUGUGACUGACACACCGCAAUCGGGAGCAAGCCCCCUCCCAC